CCCUCAUAUUGUUUUUGUAGUGAAUGUGUUCUCUAGAGGUAGAUUGAAUAGUCCUUCAUAUUGUUUUUGUAGUGAAUGUGUUCUCUAGAGGUAGUUUGAAUAGUCCUUCAUAUUGUUUUUGUAGUGAAUGUGUUCUCUAGAGGUAGUUUGAAUAGUCCUUCAUAUUGUUUUUGUAGUGAAUGUGUUCUCUAGAGGUAGUUUGAAUAGUCCUUCAUAUUGUUUUUGUAGUGAAUGUGUUCUCUAGAGGUAGAUUGAAUAGUCCUUCAUAUUGUUUUUGUAGUGAAUGUGUUCUCUAGAGGUAGUUUGAAUAG
This is a long non-coding RNA of Mytilus californianus (California mussel), 311 nucleotides long. RefSeq lists it as uncharacterized. The record is from RefSeq and is a predicted model, not a curated record. The transcript has 4 exons. Lineage: Eukaryota; Metazoa; Mollusca; Bivalvia; Mytilida; Mytilidae.